Molecule: long non-coding RNA, 984 nt
Filed under: Marmota monax (woodchuck)
Lineage: Eukaryota; Metazoa; Chordata; Mammalia; Rodentia; Sciuridae
Source: RNAcentral
CAGGAAUCUACCCUCUUUCAUGUCCCCAUCUUUCUCCUGGUCCUUCCCCUGUCCAGGGGGGCUUCAGUAAAGCCCCCAGAAAUGGCCCAUCCAUCCACCUGCUCAUCCUUCCAUCCCUCCACCCAUCCCUCUACCCAUCCAUCAGCCAUCUAUCCUUCUGCCAUCUAUCCACCCAUCCCUCCAUCCAUCCACCCAUCCCUCCAUCCAUCCACCAUCCCUCCAUCCAUUCACCAUCUAUCCAUCCACCCACCAUCCCUCCAUCCACCCACCCAGCCAUCCAUCCAUCCUCCAUCCAUCCACCCAUCCAUCCAUCCAUCUGCCCAUCUAUCCAUCCACCCACCCACCACCCACCCACCCAUCCCUCCAUCCAUCCACCAUCCAUCCAUCUACCAUCCAUCCAUCUGCCAUCUACCCACCCAUCCAUCCAUAUAUCUACCCAUCCAUCCACCCACCCACCAACCCAUCCAUCCAUCCAUCCAUCCAUCUACCAUCCAUCCAUUCAUCCAUCCAUCUACCCACCCACCAACCCAUUCAUCCACCAUCCAUCCAUCCACGUAUCCAUCCAUCUAACAUCCAUCCAUCCACGUAUCCAUCCAUCCACCAUCCAUCCAUCCACGUAUCCAUCCAUCUAACAUCCAUCCAUCUAACAUCCAUCCAUCCACCCACCUAUCUAUCCAUCCACCAUCCAUCCAUCUGCCAUCCACCCACCAUCCAUCCAUCCAUCCAUCCACUCACCACCCAUCCAUCCUUCCAUCCACCCACCUACACAACCAUUGAUCCUGAUAGAUUCAGACAACUUUGGAAUCAGGAAAGUCCUUGGGUACAAUCUGGCGCAUUCUUUCGCUUUACCAAUUAUAAAGUGGAAACCCAGAGAGUUAAAUUGCUCAAGGUCAUACAGCAAGUUCAUGGAUUGACUCCACAAAUAAUCAUGGAGCACUUGUUAAGUGCAGGAUUCCUGUCCCACCCGCACCUGUGUACUGUGAC